AGCACUGUAGGUGUCAGCAGCCGCGGUAAUACGUAGGGGGCAAGCGUUGUCCGGAAUUAUUGGGCGUAAAGCGCGCGCAGGCGGUCAUUUAAGUCUGGUGUUUAAUCCCGGGGCUCAACCCCGGAUCGCACUGGAAACUGGGUGACUUGAGUGCAGAAGAGGAGAGUGGAAUUCCACGUGUAGCGGUGAAAUGCGUAGAUAUGUGGAGGAACACCAGUGGCGAAGGCGACUCUCUGGGCUGUAACUGACGCUGAGGCGCGAAAGCGUGGGGAGCAAACAGGAUUAGAUACCCUGGUAGUCCACGCCGUAAACGAUGAGUGCUAGGUGUUAGGGGUUUCGAUACCCUUGGUGCCGAAGUUAACACAUUAAGCACUCCGCCUGGGGAGUACGGUCGCAAGACUGAAACUCAAAGGAAUUGGCGGG
RNAcentral lists this ribosomal RNA (423 nucleotides) under uncultured bacterium. Its description in RNAcentral is "bacterial SSU rRNA". It matches the Rfam family "Bacterial small subunit ribosomal RNA", at positions 495 to 917 of the family's 1533-position model. The record is from RNAcentral.